Molecule: ribosomal RNA, 440 nt
Filed under: uncultured bacterium
Lineage: Bacteria
Description: partial 16S ribosomal RNA
Rfam family: Bacterial small subunit ribosomal RNA
Source: RNAcentral
CCUACGGGUGGCAGCAGUGGGGGAUAUUGCACAAUGGGGGAAACCCUGAUGCAGCGACGCCGCGUGAGUGAAGAAGUAUUUCGGGAUGUAAAGCUCGAUCAGCAGGGAAGAAAAUGACAGUACCUGACCAAGAAGCCACGGCUAACUACGUGCCAGCAGCCUCGGUAAUACGUAGGGGGCAAGCGUUAUCCGGAUUUACUGGGUGUAAAGGGAGCGUAGACGGUUAUGUAAGUCUGGAGUGAAAGCCCGGGGCCCCCCCCCGGGACUGCGUUUGAAACUGUGUAACUGGAGUACAGGAGGGGCCGGCGGCAUUCCUGGUGUAGCUGUGCCCUGCGUAGAUAUCAGGAGGACCACCGGCGGCGACGGCGGCCUGCUGGACUGCACCUGACGUUGAGGCUCGACAGUGUGGGGAGCAAACAGGCUUCGCUACCCCAGCAGUC